This 624-nucleotide ribosomal RNA is filed under the name Staphylococcus aureus. RNAcentral describes it as "bacterial SSU rRNA". It matches the Rfam family "Bacterial small subunit ribosomal RNA", at positions 83 to 694 of the family's 1533-position model. The record is from RNAcentral. Lineage: Bacteria; Bacillati; Bacillota; Bacilli; Caryophanales; Staphylococcaceae.
UCUCUGAUGUUAGCGGCGGACGGGUGAGUAACACGUGGAUAACCUACCUAUAAGACUGGGAUAACUUCGGGAAACCGGAGCUAAUACCGGAUAAUAUUUUGAACCGCAUGGUUCAAAAGUGAAAGACGGUCUUGCUGUCACUUAUAGAUGGAUCCGCGCUGCAUUAGCUAGUUGGUAAGGUAACGGCUUACCAAGGCAACGAUGCAUAGCCGACCUGAGAGGGUGAUCGGCCACACUGGAACUGAGACACGGUCCAGACUCCUACGGGAGGCAGCAGUAGGGAAUCUUCCGCAAUGGGCGAAAGCCUGACGGAGCAACGCCGCGUGAGUGAUGAAGGUCUUCGGAUCGUAAAACUCUGUUAUUAGGGAAGAACAUAUGUGUAAGUAACUGUGCACAUCUUGACGGUACCUAAUCAGAAAGCCACGGCUAACUACGUGCCAGCAGCCGCGGUAAUACGUAGGUGGCAAGCGUUAUCCGGAAUUAUUGGGCGUAAAGCGCGCGUAGGCGGUUUUUUAAGUCUGAUGUGAAAGCCCACGGCUCAACCGUGGAGGGUCAUUGGAAACUGGAAAACUUGAGUGCAGAAGAGGAAAGUGGAAUUCCAUGUGUAGCGGUGAAAUGCGCAGA